UUCAUCAAGAUCGGCUGAGGGACAGGCCCUAUGAAGCCGUAGCAACCAUUGGUAUUUCUAUACUCAAAAGGUGCUAAUUCCUGCAAAGAUUUUUUGUGAAUCUUUGGAAGAUGAA
This 115-nucleotide non-coding RNA is filed under the name fish gut metagenome. RNAcentral describes it as "SAM riboswitch (S box leader)". It matches the Rfam family "SAM riboswitch aptamer (S box leader)". From Rfam's summary of the family: The SAM riboswitch is found upstream of a number of genes which code for proteins involved in methionine or cysteine biosynthesis in Gram-positive bacteria. The SAM riboswitch acts at the level of transcription termination control. The record is from RNAcentral.